GACGAACGCUGGCGGCGUGCUUAACACAUGCAAGUCGAACGGUAAGGCCCUUCGGGGUACACGAGUGGCGAACGGGUGAGUAACACGUGGGUGAUCUGCCCUGCACUUCGGGAUAAGCCUGGGAGACUGGGUCUAAUACCGGAUAGGACUCCGGACUGCAUGGUCUGGGGUGGAAAGCUUUUGCGGUGUGGGAUGGGCCCGCGGCCUAUCAGCUUGUUGGUGGGGUGAUGGCCUACCAAGGCGACGACGGGUAGCCGGCCUGAGAGGGUGACCGGCCACACUGGGACUGAGAUACGGCCCAGACUCCUACGGGAGGCAGCAGUGGGGAAUAUUGCACAAUGGGCGCAAGCCUGAUGCAGCGACGCCGCGUGGGGGAUGACGGCCUUCGGGUUGUAAACCUCUUUCAGCAUCGACGAAGCGAAAGUGACGGUAGGUGCAGAAGAAGGACCGGCCAACUACGUGCCAGCCGCCGCAGUAA
RNAcentral lists this ribosomal RNA (478 nucleotides) under uncultured bacterium. RNAcentral describes it as "partial 16S ribosomal RNA". It matches the Rfam family "Bacterial small subunit ribosomal RNA", at positions 28 to 523 of the family's 1533-position model. The record is from RNAcentral.